Long non-coding RNA from Erinaceus europaeus (western European hedgehog), 520 nucleotides. RefSeq lists it as uncharacterized. NCBI's taxonomy places the organism in Eukaryota, Metazoa, Chordata, Mammalia, Eulipotyphla, Erinaceidae. The transcript has 3 exons. The record is from RefSeq and is a predicted model, not a curated record.
CCACAACAGCAACUGCAACAACUGGCUUCUGCCCUCUGGGUACAGGCUCAGUGGACAUCCUCCCCAAACUGCUCUGCUGAAUCACUCCAGGAAGGGAGGGCAGCAAACCCUAGAACCACACCUCUUGAUAUACCAGGCCUAUCUGUGUGCUUCCAGACUCUUCUGAACAAAGAAAUGUGGGCUGAGAGAUGAGCCUUGGAUAUUAAAUGGUGAUGAGAUAAAAAGAGGCCACAGGGGAAAUUCACCUCUCCCUAGGUGUGUGUUUACACUUCAAAAUGAGAUGAAACCCAGAGCCAGUCAACCUCAACCCCAACCCCACCCCCAGAACUGGAAGAACUGGGACAAAGAGAAACCAAUGUGGCCAUUCUGCAGCAGCCACAGCAACAGUAAUGGGGAAAAGAUGGCCUCCAGGAGCAGUGGAUUCAUAGUGACAGCACCAAGCUCCAGCAAUAAACCUGGAGGCAAAACAAAAGCGCAUGGAGGAAGACUUCAUCAUUUCAUUUAUUCUUCUUUUUUUAAA